AAACUCAAAUGUUCUUCGACUUUAAACAACCCCUAUUUUAUUCACAUUUUCUCUAAUUUUAAUUCAUUGAUUUUGAUUUCCCGAAAGAUCAAAUCUCGAUUCUAAUCUUGAAAUGGUGAGGGAGCGAGUACCUGAUUGGCUCAACAGUUCGCUCUGGUCCACUACUCCCGCCGACGAUCGCCUCCACCGCUACUCUCCUUCUCCCAACACGGCUUCCGCCGCCGUUUCCGAGCCAACUCUUCAGCCUCCGGCUCCAGUGGCACCUCCUCCCGUCUCAGAAGCAGCCUCGAAACCUCAUUCCACGUCUAGUCCGAAAUCCGAAACCAGAGAUCCAGUUAAUCAAAAUAGUAACACCAAUAGCGGUGGUAAUGGUCAAAACGGCGGCUCUUCUGGCGCUUCCCCAGAUGAUAUCUCUCGUCAGGCUCAGCUCUUAUCCGAGUUGUCUAAGAAGGUUAUGAAUAUGUGGGAAUUGCGGAGGAUUGCGUCGCAGGGGAUUCCUGAUGGUGCAGGAAUUAGAUCUACUGUGUGGAAGUUAUUGUUAGGGUAUUUACCACCUGAACGUGGGCAGUGGUCGUCUGAAUUAGCUAAGAAAAGGUCCCAGUACAGGUAUUUUAAGGAAGAACUCUUGAUGAAUCCUUCAGAAAUCACAAGGAGGCUGGAGAAGUCUGUGGCUUGUGACAAUGAUGAAUCAAAAUCUGAGAGCAGGGGUCUGCUAUCAAGAUCACAAAUAACUCAUGGAGAGCAUCCUUUGAGCCUUGGGAAAAGCAGUGUCUGGAAUCAAUUCUUCCAGGACUCGGAAAUCAUAGAACAGAUUGACCGUGAUGUCAUGCGCACUCAUCCAGGCAUGCACUUUUUCUCUGGGGACUCACAGCUUGCAAAAUCUAACCAGGAUGCAAUGAGAAACAUAUUAAUUGUUUUUGCCAAGUUAAAUCCAGGUAUAAGAUAUGUUCAAGGGAUGAAUGAAAUCUUGGCACCUCUAUUUUAUGUAUUCAAGAAUGACCCUGAUGUGGAAAUGGCGGCUGCUGCCGAAGCUGAUACAUUCUUUUGUUUUGUUGAGUUAUUGAGCGGAUUCCGUGAUCAUUUCUGCCAGCAACUUGACAACAGCAUUGUGGGAAUUCGUUCCACAAUCUCUAGGUUGUCACAGCUUCUGAAGGAACAUGAUGAAGAGCUUUGGCGGCAUCUAGAGGUCACAACUAAAGUCAAUCCCCAGUUUUACGCAUUUCGGUGGAUCACUCUGCUCUUGACACAGGAAUUCAAUUUUGCGGAUAGCCUUCACAUAUGGGACACGCUUCUUAGUGACCCGGAAGGUCCUCUGGAGACAUUGCUUCUGGUAUGCUGUGCGAUGUUGAUUCUCAUCCGCAGGCGCUUGCUAGCCGGGGAUUUCACUUCCAAUCUUAAGCUUCUCCAAAACUAUCCCUCAGCAAACAUCGGCCAUUUGUUGUAUGUCGCGAACAAGUUGCGCUCACAAGCCAUAGGCUAAAAAAAGCUUUAAGUACCCCCACAUAUUCAUGUCUUUUUUUUUAUCAUCGGUCCCUCCGUUUAAACCCUUUUGUUCUUUGAUUCGAGAGAGAAAAGGAAAAGAAUCGAUGCUUGUAAAGUAAAUUGGUGGGUGUAAAUUGGUUGGAAGUAACAGCUAACACGCAGGCAGAGGAGGAUAACAUUUCUGUUUAUAUUUCAUCAAGAGUUGGUGUUUUAGUGGAUUAGUGGAAAGAGUUAUGUAGCAGUUGUCUUA
This is an RNA transcript of Hibiscus syriacus, 1732 nucleotides long. It is a transcript of the gene named TBC1 domain family member 13-like, with no coding region annotated. The transcript is spliced from 10 exons. The record is from RefSeq and is a predicted model, not a curated record. NCBI's taxonomy places the organism in Eukaryota, Viridiplantae, Streptophyta, Magnoliopsida, Malvales, Malvaceae.